Molecule: long non-coding RNA, 941 nt
Filed under: Homo sapiens (human)
Lineage: Eukaryota; Metazoa; Chordata; Mammalia; Primates; Hominidae
Description: non-protein coding lnc-PRR14L-5:4
Source: RNAcentral
AAAGCCGACACCUAUUGAGUUGCAGUUAAAAUGAGGGCGAAAAAGGCUUUUGUUUCAGUUCUGCAGAUGGUCUGGGAGUUUGUGUUUCUUAGCAAGAAUUUUCUAGACGUUUUGGCUUGAACCAUCUGAAAAACUGCCUCAAGCUUUUGCAUGGUUCCCACUGGGUGGGCUGGGUUGGGAGGGGCUGUCGUGCAUGGUCCGGGAAAGCUGGAGAAGGCUGUUCCUUCACCCCGAGCCUUGGAUUUCUUAUCUGUGAAAUGGGAGGCUGCAAUGAUGAAUGGCAAAGUACCUUUUUUUUUCAGCUCUGAAAGUCUAGGAUAUUUUGCCACUGGAAGACCAGCAGACAAUGUCAUGACAACUCAAGAGGAUACAACAGGGCUGCAUCAAAAGACAAGUCUUUGGACCAUGUCAAGACCUGGAGCGAAGAAGGUAAUGAACUCCUACUUCAUAGCAGGCUGUGGGCCAGCAGUUUGCUACUACGCUGUCUCUUGGUUAAGGCAAGGUUUCAGUAUCAACCUGACUUCUUUUGGAAGGAUCCCUUGGCCUCACGCUGGAGUGGGCACCUGCCCUAGCCCACAGAGCUGGAUUUCUCCCUUUCUUCAAUCACACAGGGAGCACCACUAUGCAAAGACCUCAUCACAUUCACAGCCGUCUCCGCAGAGCCUCGCACUGUGCUUGGCAUAUAGCAGGUGCUCAAUAAAUAUCUGCCAAAUGACUGAAUGCAUCUCGCUAGCCUCAGGAUGCCACCAGGCCCUGAGGGAGCCAGGAAGAUCAGAGGAAAGCUUUUGGAUUCCUGCCACACCUUACAUUAGCAACAUCUUCUCCGAGUCCUGACAGCCAGCCUCCUGGGACACCAUUCAAGCCAGCUGAAUUCCGGUCACCGCUUCACCUUGGAAAGGCAUCCGCAGCCCUCACCAAGCGGCCCCGUAAUUGACGUCACA